UAAUUUUUGUAUUUCAUGGGCUUUUAUUUCUUUCUCUCGGUGUUUUUUUAUUUGCUCUUCUUUUUCUUUGCAUUAUAUUGGGUGUUUCUUCCAAAACCUUAAAACUAAGGGAAAGGACGUGAAAGAGAGAAUUGUGCAGGGGAGAGCACCAAAUGCUCAGUCUGUGAUGAGCGAGAUCGGUGAAUGAGAGACACCGAGAGAAUGAGUUAUUGGGAAUCAGAAAAUGAACGCUGGAACGGGAUAACAAUAUACAUGAAAUUCGAAUCUAGGGUUGCCGAAAAAGGGGAAAUCGAACGAGAGCUUGGAAUCUGUCACGCUUCAGAAAAACGUGCACAGUGGAGUCCACGUGGCAGGCGCAGGGCGAGCCACCUCAGCCCGCACAUGGGCGACAGCAGCGCCUGGCAUCCACUGACAGAUGCCAGCUGUCGCACGCCAAGCUGAUCAGAGCGCAGUGGGAACGUGCGUUCGGCGUGGUGGAGUCCAGGUGUUCGCUCGGGAGUGGACGACCGUCCGUUGUAGGCUACUGAGGCAUAGUGGAGUGCGCUGGUGGGUGCGGAAGUGCGCUGGCAGGGUGGAAAGCAAAUCUGAGAAUUUCUGAAAUACUCUUCACCCUCUGCACGCACCCCUCUUUCCUUCAUUUCGGAAACACAAAUUCUCUCCUCCUUCUCUCUACACCUGAACCUCUUUCUCUCUCUAAGGAACCACCACUCAAACCUCCUCCGUUCCACACUCCGGCAAGAUUGAAGGACGCUCGGCGUAGGAGUUCCAGAGAGAACGUUCGACUGGUGAAGCUGUGGAUUAACGAGCGCUUGUUAUUGGAAUUUGAGUAGAGAAUCUGUGAACGUUCGUCAUUUCCGGAGGGAGAUGAGCGUUUGGAAGAAGCAUUGAAUGAAGAGAGCCUGGUUGAUGUUGAAGUAAAGAUCGAGCAGUGAGAUCGCUCGGCCAGUAUUGUAUUUAGUUGAAUUGAGUGGUCGUUCGACCAUCUCUUGUUUUCUUUUGAGUUAAUUCGACCGUUCAGUAAUUAUCCUGUGUAAACCGUUCGGUCAGGUUUCUUGUACGUUUAUCUUAAAUUUGUAAAACUCUUAUGUGUGGCGUGCGACUUUUGCACAUUCGUCCGUUAUGUUGGAUUUGUACUCAAGGACGUUCGUCCUUGAGCGUUCGUUCGGGUUUUAUUUUGUUUUUAGUUGGAAAACUGUAUUGAAAUAUUAUUAAAUGUGAUUUUCUGAUUUUAUGGUGUUA
Molecule: long non-coding RNA, 1239 nt
Organism: Vigna angularis (adzuki bean)
Lineage: Eukaryota; Viridiplantae; Streptophyta; Magnoliopsida; Fabales; Fabaceae
Exons: 4
Source: RefSeq, a predicted model, not a curated record